UCUCAGUUCGGAUUGGAGUCUGCAACCCGACUCCAUGAAGCUGGAUUCGCUAGUAAUCGCGCAUCAGCCACGGCGCGGUGAAUACGUUCCCGGGCCUUGUACACACCGCCCGUCAAGCCAUGGGAGCCGGGGGUACCUGAAGUGCGUAACCGCGAGGAUCGCCCUAGGGUAAAACUGGUGACUGGGGCUAAGUCGUAACAAGGUACC
This 207-nucleotide ribosomal RNA is filed under the name uncultured bacterium. RNAcentral's name for it is "partial 16S ribosomal RNA". It matches the Rfam family "Bacterial small subunit ribosomal RNA", at positions 1286 to 1500 of the family's 1533-position model. The record is from RNAcentral.